Long non-coding RNA from Bos taurus (domestic cattle), 1048 nucleotides. NCBI's taxonomy places the organism in Eukaryota, Metazoa, Chordata, Mammalia, Artiodactyla, Bovidae. The record is from Ensembl.
GCCGAGUCUGAGAAUGCGCAGGCGCAUUGCUCUUUUGCCAGUUGCUCCGGUUCUCUCCAGUUUGGGUCCAUUAGCUACCCGAGAUGGUGACGAUGCAGAAUCCCAUCUCCUGUGCCCUCGAGACCCUUCCAGCACCGCAGACCGGCAGAGGGGAGCUCCUGAGGGCUUCUCUUUGUUGAUUCCCCGAGUGACCGAACGCUGCCUCUGAAGGAAGACACCCCCAGAAUUGGACUGGCUACUUAGAAGGGACUCCAUGAAUGUAUCUCAACCUGCUGUUCCCCUCAUCUGCAGCACCCCCUUCCUUGCUUCCCUUGCUCCCCCGACGGCAUUGACUCGUCCGCUCACCUGUGUUUCCGCCGGAUCCGGUGCCAUCCUCUGUUGUGUCCCUGGGCGCAGCAGGGAGGGAGCCCGAUUUUCCUUCUGGAUACAUCGGAGCUCUCGUCCGCAAGGCGCCUAGAACCAGGCUGAGUCCACAGUAGGCAGUGCCUUUUUGCUAAACAGAACGUGCCACUGGUUCUAAUGAGUGAAUCCAGAGGGACCACCCGUCUUUCUCCAGUGUCGUCUGCUCUAAUCACUACCCCCUUCCCCCACUGCAGAGCAGUCGGAAGGAUCCUGCUAAACCCGAAUGGAAUCUCACUCUUCUAACUCUCUUCCCAACACCCCUCGACUUUCCUCAGUGUCGUUUCCCAUUUCUUAGUUACUUGCUUUCAACAGGUCCUUGAGAAGCGCUUAAUACUACCUUUCCGACCAGGGCCCGUAAGCGUCGUGGGGAUGAGAUGAAGAGAAGACCUGCAAAGAGGAAUUCUCUUCGUUCCAUUUCAAGACCUUAGCUCACGAGAUUAUCCUGGCUGCUUGCUGCUUGACAAAUUCCCUUUCUGCCUGUAAAGAGCUACUUCCAAGGUCACUUGUUCUGCGAAGACUUCUAUUACCGGAAGCCCAUUUCCAGUGCUGCUAUGGAAAUUUGUACAUAUGUUAAUUUUAGCACUUUGCCUCUUGAGUGUUCUGUGCUUUGUUUGGGUUGUGCCGGAUAACGUGCGUAGCCCAGUGU